Molecule: long non-coding RNA, 321 nt
Organism: Mus musculus (house mouse)
Lineage: Eukaryota; Metazoa; Chordata; Mammalia; Rodentia; Muridae
Product: predicted gene, 51705
Exons: 3
Source: RefSeq, a predicted model, not a curated record
AUAAAAGCUGGAGAGAGAAAAAAAGAAUCAGAAGAUCCAGUCAGACUGAGGUCCUGAUGCCAUCAUCGCAGGUACCCUGCUUUUACAUCAGCCCCUCUUGGUCGAGAAGUAAUAGAAGAACACAGAAAGCAUACUUACAACUCAAUGUACCUAUCUUCUCGGGAGAUGGAAUACCACACCAUGACAACAACAAGGACCAGAGCCAGGGCCAGGAGCUUCCAGUCUGCAAGAUACAUGCACAACGGAGCUGAAGGCAGAGGCAGGCAGAUACAUCAGACGCAUGCCUGAUGAUCGAUACUGUCAACCUGUCAGGAUCUAGAA